Molecule: ribosomal RNA, 497 nt
Filed under: uncultured bacterium
Lineage: Bacteria
Description: partial 16S ribosomal RNA
Rfam family: Bacterial small subunit ribosomal RNA
Source: RNAcentral
GAUGAACGCUGGCGGCGUGCCUAAUACAUGCAAGUCGAGCGAACAGACGAGGAGCUUGCUCCUCUGACGUUAGCGGCGGACGGGUGAGUAACACGUGGAUAACCUACCUAUAAGACUGGGAUAACUUCGGGAAACCGGAGCUAAUACCGGAUAAUAUAUUGAACCGCAUGGUUCAAUAGUGAAAGACGGUUUUGCUGUCACUUAUAGAUGGAUCCGCGCCGCAUUAGCUAGUUGGUAAGGUAACGGCUUACCAAGGCAACGGUGCGUAGCCGACCUGAGAGGGUGAUCGGCCACACUGGAACUGAGACACGGUCCAGACUCCUACGGGAGGCAGUAGUAGGGAAUCUUCCGCAAUGGGCGAAAGCUUGACGGAGCAACGCCGCGUGAGUGAUGAAGGUCUUCGGAUCGUAAAACUCUGUUAUUAGGGAAGAACAAAUGUGUAAGUAACUAUGCACGUCUUGACGGUACCUAAUCAGAAAGCCACGGCUAACUACGUG